RNAcentral lists this ribosomal RNA (253 nucleotides) under uncultured bacterium. RNAcentral's name for it is "partial 16S ribosomal RNA". It matches the Rfam family "Bacterial small subunit ribosomal RNA", at positions 524 to 776 of the family's 1533-position model. The record is from RNAcentral.
UACGUAGGCAGCGAGCGUUGUUCGGAGUUACUGGGCGUAAAGGGUGCGUAGGCGGUUGUUUGAGUUUGGUGUGAAAUCUCCCGGCUCAACUGGGAGGGUGCGCCGAAUACUGAAUGACUAGAGUGCGGGAGAGGAUAGUGGAAUUCCUGGUGUAGCGGUGAAAUGCGUAGAUAUCAGGAGGAACACCGGUGGUGUAGACGGCUAUCUGGACCGUAACUGACGCUGAGGCACGAAAGCGUGGGUAGCAAACAGG